This is a long non-coding RNA of Salarias fasciatus (jewelled blenny), 3083 nucleotides long. The record is from Ensembl. NCBI's taxonomy places the organism in Eukaryota, Metazoa, Chordata, Actinopteri, Blenniiformes, Blenniidae.
GCUCUUCCGUCACAGUAAACACUUCCUGGUUGAAGCACAUGUGCGUAGUUUUUCUGGUUCCGGUUUUGUUUACUUUAUUCCUUUAUAACGCGAUCAUCUCCAGAUAAGAGGUUAUCAUGCCGAACUCUGUAUGUUUUUUUCUGAUCCGAUGCACCUAAAAAGAAGCCCGCAUCUUGUUUGUUUCGCAGAGUUACGCGAUGAGAUGCGCGUUUACAUUAUCGUAAUUUUAUAAACACAAGAAUUGCAUCUCGUAGUUGAAGUUUUCGGAAUCGCACUACAUCAUGCGGGGAAAACCGAAGUUGGAUAGAGAGUCAUGGAGUUCUGAGUCGUCUGCGGGGGAGAGCCCGCCCCGUGGAGCCAGUGGAUCAGACAGCGAUUCGGAUGGCAGCUUCUUCAUCACCCAGAAACCCGUCAGGUCAAGAAGACAGAAGCAAUCCGUUGCGAAGUCCCCGAAACGCAAAAAGGGAAAUGGGAAAGGGAAAAGCAGCACCUCCAAGACAAAAGACAAAAAGAAGAAUAUAAAAAGAGUCAAGCUGCCGGUCUACAGCUUCGAUCUUCUUCAAGAGGAGAAACCCACCAAUCAUGUCUUGAAUCACCAUCAGAACUUGGACAUCCAUAAUGCACUGAUGGGAGGCUUCUUCUGCAGUGUCCGAGAGCUGCAGGCAGCACGGCAAACCAAACAUCAGCCCUCAUCAUUACCCACCGUGGACCUGGAGGGAGACAUCUCUCCAAUAUCAGAAGAAGAAGGAACAUUAGAAGAAGAGGACAUCAAAGUGGUGAAGAACGAAGAUCUUGUGGUGUUGUCCAAAACAACGCGCCCACAGCCUUGGUACGAUCCGCAGAGGGAGAGUCAACACAGCGGCGCUGCAGCUGAAACGCCCCAUAAAGGACUCCGAGGAGCAUCUCCCUCCAGCAGCAGAGCCGGAAACUCUCCUGCAAGACGACAGACGUGUCACAAAUGGAGCGGAAUCCAAGCCAAAACUUCAAAGGUGAAGAAUAAUCUAUUUUUUCACCAAGAAGAGAGGCAGGACGGGCCAGCCAGUGACAGCGAUGCUACUUUCUGUGAGUUUCCUGAAGAAUGCGAACAAAGUGACGAUGGAGCAUCCGCAGCCGGAGCCGAGCUUCAGGUAGAGCCUGAAGCUGGAGGCCGAAAUGAAGCAGAUGGAGGAGAUCAUGAGAGCAUCGAAGAAGAGAGCUGUCAUAGUCACAAGGAGCCAGAGGGACUGGAACAAAUCACAUCACCUGUUAAUGUAGAAGACAAGACUCUUAAUCUACAAGAAGAGAGAGAUGUCCCCGAUUCACAACAGGAGAAAAAGCGAAAACGAGUUCACGAAGAUGUAAGUGAGCACAUGGAGGACAGUUCUGCUGCUUUAAACAGUGGCGUCAUUGAUGGGGCGGCCCACAAGAAGAAAAAGAGGAGAAUAAAUGAUGAAGAUCAAGAGAGGUUAAAAUCUGAUGAAGUUCAAAAUGAGGAUUUUCAGAUCGAGAAGAAAAAUAUGAAGGAAUCAAAUGAUGAUGGAUCAGGAACGUGUUUAGAAACUACUGAAGCUUCAGAGAAAGCGUCUCGUGAAAGAAUAAAGACGAGGAAAAAGAAAAAGAAGCAUCAGUUAGAAAGUGAAAUGAAACUCGGGUUUUCUGGUGACGCCGUCAGCGUGGCAGGAAGUCAGGAGCUGACGCCUGAAAAGACGAGUUUCUUUGAGAGCGAUGGAAGAACGGAAAACACAGCAGAGGGCGCCAAAGACAGCGGCGCUCAGCUGGUGACGAGAAAGAAGAAAAAGAAGCGGCUGAGUCUGAGCCUCUGCAGUGACACUGUGCCCCAAAGUGAUGAUUCAGUGCAGAAGACAGCGGAAAAGAAACAGACCUCUUCCUUCCCCGCUGCUGAUGCAGAGACGUCAGCCAGCGAGUCAGCAGAAUUUCGCAAACCUGACCUGGUCGGGAAAAAGAAGAAGAAGAAGAAGAGGAUGUUAGAAGCCACGAGGAAUGACGGAAAGCCAAGCGAGACGCUUCAGAUGGAUGAAGCAGAGAGGAAAAGACAGAAGACUCCCACAGGAGACCUGGAAACUGCAGAUGAUGAUCCAACUGAUGAGGACGGAGCAGUGAAGAAGAAGAAGAAGAAGAAGAAGAAGAAAAAAGACACAGGAGACGUUCCAACAGCUGCAAAUGAACAUAUUCAGUCUGCUGUGGAUUCUUGCGGCUCGCUCACACACGAGGUGGAUGCAAAGACUGGAUGCGAUGCUUCACUAGCCACUGAUGUCAAGAGAAAAAAGAAGAAAAAGAAAAAUGAGGAAUUUACAAAAGUUCCAUCAUUUAAUGGUGAAACGGGGACAGAUGAGAAGGAAAGACCCGAGGUGACGGCUGAUUUCAGCGACAGCUCACAGUUGUUUGAAAAGUCUUCACACAGCGUCAUUAGGAGGAAGAAAAGAAAAAGGAAAUCCAAGUCAGGACUUCCUCACACGCUGCUCGGAGCUGAUGGAGGGCCGGACUGACACACAACACAUUCAGGGAUUUUCAGUUGUGUCCAAAUGUUAACAUGAAAACAACUGAAAAAUGUUUUUAUCGAAAUGAUUUUAUAAGAAAAAUGAAAGAAACGUCUGCAUUAAUACCACAUUGAUGUAAUGAGUUUGUUUCUUCAUCUUUAAACGAAACAAGGUUUUCGAUUCUGUUUUGAUGAUUUUUAACGUUUCACCUCCCCAUAUAAGUCUGAUCACUUUAUGUGUCUACUAACUGCUGUGAACAAAGAAGUCUUCAGAAACACAGUGACAACACUGGAUGGGAAAUAUAUGAUCCCCAGGAGCCGUACCCAUCACUGAAAAUACAUUAUAUUGACGCUUGAUUUUACACUGAAGAACCUGCGGUCAUUGUUUGCAAACAUUUUCUACAGAAUAAAACACAUAAUGUUCUUACACCUGAGGAUUAUAGAAGAGGUACCUUUUCUGGCAAGUGCAUUCACGCAGGAUGAAAUAGUGUGUAUAAUCCUCAGCUAAUGUACAAACAUCACAUCCUAUUCUGUAUUUAUUUCUCAUUUAUCACAAAACUUGUGAAUUAUGAUUCACCCAACAAGUUUAUUUAUUUUUAUAUAAGUU